RNAcentral lists this ribosomal RNA (270 nucleotides) under uncultured archaeon. Its description in RNAcentral is "partial 16S ribosomal RNA". It matches the Rfam family "Archaeal small subunit ribosomal RNA", at positions 477 to 747 of the family's 1478-position model. The record is from RNAcentral.
CUGCGCCACGAGUGGCAAUCGCAUUACUAGGCCUAAAGCGUCCGUAGCCGGUUUUGUAAAUCUUUUGUGAAAUCGUCAAGCUCAACUUGACGGCGUGCAGGAGACACUGCAAGACUAGAGACCGGGAGGAGCUGGAGGUAUUUUUGGGGAACUGGUAAAAUGGUAUAAUCCCAAGAAGACCACCUGUGGCGAAGGCGUCCAGCUAGAACGGUUCUGACGGUGAGGGACGAAAGCUAGGGGAGCGAACCGGAUUAGAUACCCGCGUAGUCC